GGCGAGUGGCAAACGGGUGAGUAAUACAUCGGAACGUGCCCAGUAGUGGGGGAUAGCCCGGCGAAAGCCGGAUUAAUACCGCAUACGAUCUACGGAUGAAAGCGGGGGACCUUCGGGCCUCGCGCGAUUGGAGCGGCCGAUGUUAGAUUAGGUAGUUGGUGGGGUAAAGGCUCACCAAGCCGACGAUCAGUAGCUGGUCUGAGAGGAUGGACAGCCACAUUGGGACUGAGACACGGCCCAGACUCC
This 246-nucleotide ribosomal RNA is filed under the name uncultured bacterium. Its description in RNAcentral is "partial 16S ribosomal RNA". It matches the Rfam family "Bacterial small subunit ribosomal RNA", at positions 90 to 339 of the family's 1533-position model. The record is from RNAcentral.